CGUAUUACGGGGGGUCAGGAUCAGGUAUAUGUAACCCAUGUGCUUUGGUUCUGUCCUUCUGAAUAUUCUACCCAUGUCUUUUGCGUACUAUUUGUUUCCUUGGUGAGCUUGCUUGCCGAUAGGACACUAUAAAACCUUUUGUAAUUGCAGUCAGCGUCAGAAAUAACUUAAUAGUUACAACUCUCAACAACGGAUCUCUUGGUUCU
RNAcentral lists this unclassified non-coding RNA (206 nucleotides) under rhizosphere metagenome. RNAcentral's name for it is "partial ribosomal RNA internal transcribed spacer region". The record is from RNAcentral.